Molecule: ribosomal RNA, 505 nt
Filed under: uncultured bacterium
Lineage: Bacteria
Description: partial 16S ribosomal RNA
Rfam family: Bacterial small subunit ribosomal RNA
Source: RNAcentral
GACGAACGCUGGCGGCGUGCCUAAUACAUGCAAGUAGAACGCACAGUUUAUACCGUAGCUUGCUACACCAUAGACUGUGAGUUGCGAACGGGUGAGUAACGCGUAGGUAACCUGCCUGGUAGCGGGGGAUAACUAUUGGAAACGAUAGCUAAUACCGCAUAAUAUUAAUUAUUGCAUGAUAAUUAAUUGAAAGGUGCAAUUGCACCACUACCGGAUGGACCUGCGUUGUAUUAGCUAGUAGGUGAGGUAACGGCUCACCUAGGCGACGAUACAUAGCCGACCGGAGAGGGUGAUCGGCCACACUGGGACUGAGACACGGCCCAGACUCCUACGGGAGGAAGCAGUAGGGAAUCUUCGGCAAUGGCCGAAAGUCUGACCGAGCAACGCCGCGUGAGUGAAGAAGGUUUUCGGAUCGUAAAGCUCUGUUGUAAGAGAAGAACGGGUGUGAGAGUGGAAAGUUCACACUGUGACGGUAUCUUACCAGAAAGGGACGGCUAACUACGUG